CACUGUUUCAAGUUGUGGUAUGCAUCAAAAAAUGUCCAACAGCAUUCGUCCUUCUACUCGUAAAGGCAUUUGUUUCUAAGAUCGAUAUGGUGUAUACCAUUAUGCCAGAAAUCAAAUGAAGCAGAAAGCUGAUGUAACUUAUCUGCUUUACUCGAUCCCUUAAGACAAAUACAUGAAAGAAGUGUAAUAACGCCUAACACAAACACACAUAUGCACAAACUCAAAACAGUACACCAUAACCAC
Molecule: long non-coding RNA, 243 nt
Filed under: Mytilus galloprovincialis (Mediterranean mussel)
Lineage: Eukaryota; Metazoa; Mollusca; Bivalvia; Mytilida; Mytilidae
Source: RNAcentral